GCCAGGUGUGGCGGUGCACACCUGUAAUCCCAGCUACUCAGGAGGCUGAGGUGGGAGAAUCACUUGAACCCAGGAGGCGAAAGUUGCAGUGAGCCGCGAUCGUACCACUGCACUCCAGCCUGGGUGACAGAGCGAGACCCCAUCUCAA
Molecule: non-coding RNA, 148 nt
Filed under: Nomascus leucogenys (northern white-cheeked gibbon)
Lineage: Eukaryota; Metazoa; Chordata; Mammalia; Primates; Hylobatidae
Source: Rfam by way of RNAcentral